GACGAACGCUGGCGGCGUGCUUAACACAUGCAAGUCGAACGGAAAGGCCCUGCUUUUGUUGGGUGCUCGAUUGGCGAACGGGUGAGUAACACGUGUGUAACCUGCCCUUGACUUUGUGAUAACUUCAGGAAACUCGGGCUAAUACCGGAUAUGAUCUCUUGCUGCAUGGGGUGGGUUGGAAAGUUUCGGCGUUGGUGGAUGGACUGGCGGCUUAUCAGCUUGUUUGGGUGGUAGUGGCUUACCAAGGCUUUGACGGGUAGCCGGCCUGAGAGGGUUACCGGACACAAUGGGACUGAGAGACGGACCAGAAGGCUACGGGAGGCAGUAGUGGGGAGCAUUGCAGAGCGGGCGGAAGCCUGAUGCAGCAAUGCCGCGAGCGGGAUGCUGGCUUACGGGUUGUAAACAGAUUUGGAAGGUGACGAAGAGUGAGUGACGGUAAUGGGUCAAGAAGCAACGGCUAACUACGUG
RNAcentral lists this ribosomal RNA (468 nucleotides) under uncultured bacterium. Its description in RNAcentral is "partial 16S ribosomal RNA". It matches the Rfam family "Bacterial small subunit ribosomal RNA", at positions 28 to 507 of the family's 1533-position model. The record is from RNAcentral.